AUUGAACGCUGGCGGCAUGCCUUACACAUGCAAGUCGAACGGUAACAGGGAGCUUGCUCCGCUGACGAGUGGCGAACGGGUGAGUAAAGUAUCGGAACGUACCUUUCAGUGGGGGAUAACGUAGCGAAAGUUACGCUAAUACCGCAUAUUCUGUGAGCAGGAAAGCAGGGGGAUCGCAAGACCUUGCGCUGAUUGAGCGGCCGAUAUCAGAUUAGCUAGUUGGUGAGGUAAAGGCUCACCAAGGCGACGAUCUGUAGCGGGUCUGAGAGGAUGAUCCGCCACACUGGAACUGAGACACGGUCCAGACUCCUACGGGAGGCAGCAGUGGGGAAUUUCGGACAAUGGGGGCAACCCUGAUCCAGCCAUGCCGCGUGAGUGAAGAAGGCCU
This 388-nucleotide ribosomal RNA is filed under the name uncultured bacterium. RNAcentral describes it as "bacterial SSU rRNA". It matches the Rfam family "Bacterial small subunit ribosomal RNA", at positions 30 to 417 of the family's 1533-position model. The record is from RNAcentral.